GACGAACGCUGGCGGCGUGCCUAAUACAUGCCAGUCGAACGAGAGCGACCGGUGCUUGCACUGGUCAAUCUAGUGGCGAACGGGUGAGUAACACGUGGGUAACCUGCCCAUCAGAGGGGGAUAACAUCCGGAAACGGAUGCUAAAACCGCAUAGGUCUUCGAACCGCAUGGUUUGAAGAGGAAAAGAGGCGCAAGCUUCUGCUGAUGGAUGUACCCGCGGUGCAUUAGCUAGUUGGUGAGGUAACGGCUCACCAAGGCCGUGAUGCAUAGCCGACCUGAGAGGGUGAUCGGCCACAUUGGGACUGAGAAACGGAACAAACUCCUACGGGAGGCAGCAGUAGGGAAUCUUCCGCAAUGGACGAAAGUCUGACGGAGCAACGCCGCGUGAGUGAAGAAGGUUUUCGGAUCGUAAAACUCUGUUGUUAGAGAAGAACAAGUGCUAGAGUAACUGUUAGCGCCUUGACGGUAUCUAACCAGAAAGCCACGGCUAACUACGUG
This 498-nucleotide ribosomal RNA is filed under the name uncultured bacterium. RNAcentral describes it as "partial 16S ribosomal RNA". It matches the Rfam family "Bacterial small subunit ribosomal RNA", at positions 28 to 507 of the family's 1533-position model. The record is from RNAcentral.